Molecule: ribosomal RNA, 105 nt
Filed under: Brucella pseudogrignonensis
Lineage: Bacteria; Pseudomonadati; Pseudomonadota; Alphaproteobacteria; Hyphomicrobiales; Brucellaceae
Description: Ochrobactrum pseudogrignonense partial 16S ribosomal RNA
Rfam family: Bacterial small subunit ribosomal RNA
Source: RNAcentral
CUAACCGUAAGGAGGCAGGUGACCACGGUAGGGUCAGCGACUGGGGUGAAGUCGUAACAAGGUAGCCGUAGGGGAACCUGCGGCUGGAUCACCUCCUUUCUAAGG